CAGUCGCCGCGGUAAUACGAAGGGUGCAAGCGUUAAUCGGAAUUACUGGGCGUAAAGCGUGCGUAGGCGGUGAGUUAAGUCUGCUGUGAAAUCCCCGGGCUCAACCUGGGAAUGGCAGUGGAUACUGGCUCGCUAGAGUGUGUCAGAGGAUGGUGGAAUUCCCGGUGUAGCGGUGAAAUGCGUAGAGAUCGGGAGGAACAUCAGUGGCGAAGGCGGCCAUCUGGGGCAACACUGACGCUGAGGCACGAAAGCGUGGGGAGCAAACAGGAUUAGAUACCCCCGUAGUCCCUGUCUCUUAUAC
This 301-nucleotide ribosomal RNA is filed under the name uncultured bacterium. Its description in RNAcentral is "partial 16S ribosomal RNA". It matches the Rfam family "Bacterial small subunit ribosomal RNA", at positions 509 to 807 of the family's 1533-position model. The record is from RNAcentral.